GACGAACGCUGGCGGCGUGCUUAACACAUGCAAGUCGAACGGGUCUGCCCUGUUUUUUGCGGGGUGGGUCAGUGGCGACCGGGUGAGUAACACGUGAGUAACCUGCCCCUCACUUCUGGAUAACCGCUUGAAAGGGUGGCUAAUACGGGGUGUUCUGGCUGUGCCGCAUGGUGUGGCUGGGAAAGAUUCACUUUUGUGGUGUUUUGGUGGGUGAUGGGCUCGCGGCCUAUCAGCUUGUUGGUGGGGUGAUGGCCUGCCAAGGCUUUGACGGGUAGCCGGCUGGGGGGGUGGGGGGUUACAACGGGGACGAGAGACCGGCCAGACUCCUGCGGGAGGCAGCAGUGGGGGGUAUUGCACAAUGGGCGGAAGCCUGAUGCAGCGACGUCGCGUGAGGGAUGGAGGCCUUCGGGUUGUGAACCUCUUUCGCCGGUGAAGAAGGUCCUGCUCUUUGUGGUGGGGUUGACGGUAGCCGGGUUAUGAAGCGCCGGCUAACUACGUG
RNAcentral lists this ribosomal RNA (499 nucleotides) under uncultured bacterium. Its description in RNAcentral is "partial 16S ribosomal RNA". It matches the Rfam family "Bacterial small subunit ribosomal RNA", at positions 28 to 507 of the family's 1533-position model. The record is from RNAcentral.